CCUUAGACGGGACAACAUUCCGAAAGGGGUGCUAAUACCGGAUGUGACGCUCCUAUCGCAUGACGGGAGCGUGAAAGAUGGCCUCUACAUGUAAGCUAUCGCUAAAGGAUGGGCCUGCGUCUGAUUAGCUAGUUGGUAGUGUAACGGACAACCAAGGCGAUGAUCAGUAGCCGGUCUGAGAGGAUGAACGGCCACAUUGGGACUGAGACACGGCCCAG
Molecule: ribosomal RNA, 218 nt
Filed under: uncultured bacterium
Lineage: Bacteria
Description: partial 16S ribosomal RNA
Rfam family: Bacterial small subunit ribosomal RNA
Source: RNAcentral